GGUGGCUCAGUGAUAGAGUGCUUGCCUUGAAUGCAUGAGGCCCUGGGUUUGAUUCCCCAGCACCA
This 65-nucleotide transfer RNA is filed under the name Dipodomys ordii (Ord's kangaroo rat). It matches the Rfam family "tRNA". Rfam says of the family: Transfer RNA (tRNA) molecules are approximately 80 nucleotides in length. Lineage: Eukaryota; Metazoa; Chordata; Mammalia; Rodentia; Heteromyidae. The record is from Rfam by way of RNAcentral.